This 85-nucleotide transfer RNA is filed under the name Campylobacterota bacterium. Its description in RNAcentral is "tRNA-Leu". It matches the Rfam family "tRNA". From Rfam's summary of the family: Transfer RNA (tRNA) molecules are approximately 80 nucleotides in length. Their secondary structure includes four short double-helical elements and three loops (D, anti-codon, and T loops). Lineage: Bacteria; Pseudomonadati; Campylobacterota. RNAcentral also lists the same sequence under 1 other name. The record is from RNAcentral.
GCGGGAAUGGCGAAACUGGUAGACGCACCAGACUUAGGAUCUGGCGCCGCAAGGUAUGGAGGUUCGAGUCCUCUUUCCCGCACCA